AUUGAACGCUGGCGGCAGGCCUAACACGUGCAAGUCGAGCGGAGGAAGGGGGCUUGCUCCUGGAUUCAGCGGCGGACGGGUGAGUAAUGCCUAGGAAUCUGCCUGGUAGUGGGGGAUAACGUCCUGAAACGGGCGCUAAUACCGCAUACGUCCAGAGUGAGAAAGUGGGGGAUCUUCAGACCUAACGCUAUUAGAUGAGCCCAGGUCAGAUUAGCUAGUUGGUGGGGUAAAGGCCUACCAAGGCGACGAUCCGUAACUGGUCUGAGGGAACGCUAAGACAAACUGGAACCUUCACACGGUUCUGACUCCUACGGGAGGUGGCAGACGGGAAUGUUUCGCCAACGGCGGCAGCAUAAUUCAGACCAGCCGCGUCUGUGAAGAAGGUCUUCGGAUUGUAAACAACUUUCAGAAAGGAAGCAAGGCAGUAAGUAAAUAUAUUGCCGUUUUGACGUUCCCAAAAACAUAAGCCACGGCUAACUUCGUG
Molecule: ribosomal RNA, 484 nt
Filed under: uncultured bacterium
Lineage: Bacteria
Description: partial 16S ribosomal RNA
Rfam family: Bacterial small subunit ribosomal RNA
Source: RNAcentral